Long non-coding RNA from Felis catus (domestic cat), 2730 nucleotides. RefSeq lists it as uncharacterized. The transcript is spliced from 2 exons. The record is from RefSeq and is a predicted model, not a curated record. NCBI's taxonomy places the organism in Eukaryota, Metazoa, Chordata, Mammalia, Carnivora, Felidae.
GCCAGGACAGACAGGCUCGUUUCAUUCAGCAUUGACUUUCACAAACAAGGGAAAGGAGGCCGACGAGGAGAUGUCCAAAGUCACAGUGUUGUGCCGUGACCGACAGGGGAGGGCCCAUUGGUCGCCAGACAGGAGCAGAAACCACUGGAAGAACGCAGGUGUCCCUGCCAUCACCCACACACCACUUCUACAAAACCACCCGAAUUGGUGAGAACUGACUUGUUUUCCUACCUCCCAACCUUGAGACCCCUACUUCCUUCUUUCUCGGCCUUGAGGAGGUAGCAGAUAGUCUUAGAUCUUGCUUCUCUCCUAUUUGGUGAGUCUUAGAAGGAAAACAGUCGGCUUUUAUCUGCUUUUGGAACUAGAACAUCUGAUUUUUACCCAUCUGAUAUAAUACCGAACGUCCGUGCAUCGAGUGCCUACCAGGCCUCAGAUAUUGUAAAGGUACUUGACACACAGGAUUUCAUUUAGCCCUCACCUUAAUCCAGUGAGGCGGGCACUAUUGUUCCCAGGUUGCAGAGGAGUCUGAGGCAUGACCAAGGAUACAAAUCCAGGCCUGCUGCUUCAUGGCACCCUCUGUCCUAAAGGAGCUUACAGUUGGUUGUGAAAACGAGCCGCACCUAUAGAGCUGUAAGGUGAAACAAAGUACGGCAAUAUUUGUCAAAGCUUGAUCCCUUAGUUUUAGGUAAAAAAAUUGUUAUGAACCUCCAAUGUUGAUUUACUUUUAUAAGUGACUUAAAUAUGCCCAAAUCUAAAUCUCACGUAAACUCCUUAUACUGCUAAUAUUUUGAUGCCUCUCCUUAUAGACACACAUGUAUUGGGGGGCUUAUUUUAUAUUUGUAUUGUGAUUUUUUUUUUGUUUCUCACAUGUCAGCAUUUUCCUAUGUCAGUAACAAAGUUUUAAAAGUUGAUACGUUUUCAUUUGUGCACCAAUAUAGGGAUUGCACCAUAUAUUCAACCAUUCCCCUAUAGUUGGGCAUUUAGGUUUCUGAUUUGUGCCAUUAGAAAGCCCACUGUGAUGUGCCAUUUUUGCACGUGAACCUUUGGCUGUCUUUCUGAUUAUUUCCUUGGAGUUAAUACUCAGGAGUGAAAUUACCGGGUCAAAGGGCACAAACAUUUUUAAGGCUUUUAAACAUAUCUCCAGGAAGGUUGUACUAAUAUGUUUGCAUCUGCUAUCGAAGGAUCACUUUGAGGCCUAGGAGGUGUAAGAAGUAAGUGGCAUUUGAACAAGAACUUCAAGGGUGGGCACGGCUCCCACCAGUGCAGGUGGGUGGAGGCGUUUCGGGUGGGAGAUACCAUCACCAGAUUCAAGGGACAGAAUACAAGGCGCCUGGGGGAAGGGUGAACAUUCUGAUUUAGUUAGUGCUCUGUCAGCCAUUUUAUGUAUUGAGCACACUAGAAUGUUAAAAUUCUGAGAACAUAAAAUGCUCAAAAUAUGAAACAACUCGGCAAUGAUGUUAAGAUAGUCACCACUGUGGUAUAAUGUUGUCUAAAUGUGCAAAAGCAUCACCAUUAUUGUACCAUUUCUUGCUCCCCUUGGCUCUGUGUUCGAAUAGAACUAUCUGACGAUGUCACUGUGGUCUCAAAUAUUAUCAGGACAAUGUUCCAGAAGGCACGCUGUGUUUGGUGUUGGCAUGGAGCCACACUGGGUCGCUACUGUCAUUCAUCACCUGACCAUUCAGCCCUGUGCUCCCCUUGAUAGCCUUCCCACGGUGGUAUCAUGUUGUGGUUAAGAGAAGUGAAGAAGAAAAGAAACCAGACUGCCUGGGUUCCAAUUCCAGCUCUACCAUUGAUUGUUUGUGUGGCCUUAUGCAAAGUACUUAACCUUUGUGCCUCAAUUUCUUCAACUGUAAAAUGGAGUUGAUGUUAUCUACCUUUAUAGGAUUAUCUGGAGGAUUAAAUGAGUUAAUAAACAUAAAGCAUGUGAAACAAUGCUGUGCACAGAGUGAGGACUUCUUUUUUUAAUUAAAAAUAUAUUUUUUUAUGUUUUAUCUAUUUUUGAGAGCAAUAGAGACAGAGCAUGAGCAAGGGAGGAGCAGAGAGAGAGGGAGACACGGAAUCCGAAGCAGGCUCCAGGCUCCGAGCUGUCAGCACAGAGCCCGACGCGGGGCUCGAACUCACGAACCGUGAGACCAUGACAUGCCGAAGUCGGACACGUAACCGACUAAGCCACCGAGGCGCCCCCAGAGUGAGUACUUCUGAUAACUGUUAGCUUUUGUGAUUUAUUAUAUUAGCCUCAGUUUGGCCCACUGGCUAGGAUUUGGCAACACACAUAUAUAAAAGGUUUGCAGCCAAGUGGGAUGCUGUGGCCUUCCAUCUGCUGAGACCCAGAGGACUGGAAACUGCGUCCUUCCCAACUCAGCCCACAGCUACAAUAAACAGCUAUGUGUCAAAGGUGAAAUGUUUUUAUUUGAGUCCAUCACAGAGGUUGAAUAGAGUCUCAUGACAUUCAUCCGUAUAAAAUAUCGUAACAAUGGCUGCAGGCAUAAAUAAGAAUUACUCUAGCUAUGCUAAAUAUUUUAUAACUCAGAGUCCUUUUUGUUGAUUACAAAUAAGCAUAUGAAGUUAAGGUGCAGAAAUUUUUCCACUUUGAUUUCAGCAGUUUCUAAAAAUUGAAUUAUAAAAUUAAGGACACGUAAAAAUGAUGCUUUUUUAAAUGGAACCAGCCACCUUGAAAAAUAUCCUGAAAAACAUGGUUAAAAAUUUUUAAUACUUCACAAGAUAAGAAAA